RNAcentral lists this transfer RNA (73 nucleotides) under Camelus bactrianus (Bactrian camel). It matches the Rfam family "tRNA". Rfam says of the family: Transfer RNA (tRNA) molecules are approximately 80 nucleotides in length. Their secondary structure includes four short double-helical elements and three loops (D, anti-codon, and T loops). RNAcentral also lists the same sequence under 1 other name. Lineage: Eukaryota; Metazoa; Chordata; Mammalia; Artiodactyla; Camelidae. The record is from Rfam by way of RNAcentral.
GGGGGUAUAGCUCAAGUGGUAGAGCACAUGCUUAGCAUGCAUGAGGUCCUGGGUUCAAUCCCCAGGAGCUCCA